This is a long non-coding RNA of Parus major (Great Tit), 1789 nucleotides long. RefSeq lists it as uncharacterized. The record is from RefSeq and is a predicted model, not a curated record. NCBI's taxonomy places the organism in Eukaryota, Metazoa, Chordata, Aves, Passeriformes, Paridae. The transcript has 3 exons.
CAGUUUCCUUCUGGUAUUUAGAUCAGUCCAAGAAAUAAAUUUUUAAAAUAGUUCCUCCAAUAGAAUCUUUCCCAUAUUUUCAGCCCUGAGAAUUCACAAGGACGCAAGUUGUGUUACACUGACUCUGGAGCCAGCAGCUUCUAAGAGUGCAAAAAUCACCUCAGAAAAUAAUGGAGGUGAGGGGUUGAGGGCAGUCCAUUCAUCCCUCAGCUCUCCAACUUGCCUGAAAAAAAGAAAAAGAGCAAAAAGCCAGAGCACACCAUGUUUUUGCUCUCCUCAUGGCAAUAGCUGCAUCCUGCUCCAAUUUAUCCUAAACAGAACCAGAGCCCAGAAAGGGGACAAAAAUGUGAAUUAGUUUUUGUUCUUCCUUUUAGCACAGAAGAACUGAUAAAGACUUAAAAUCUGCUGUCAAAUGCUCUGGACCUUUACCAAAUCCUUUUCUGCCUUCUCCCACUGAGACCUGCCUAGGUGUCCCUAGGCUGGUGCCUUGAGAAACCAGAUGCAACAAGCAUGUUCUUCAUUCUUCUUUGAUCAUAGCUGCAGGAUUCUUCCUCCAACCAUUGAUUUCCUCCUUCUUUUCCAGGCUCAGGGAAGAGGACAAGCAGAAACUCUGGCAGCCGUCGAAUGUUAAGUAACUGGAAGAGUGGGCCAUGCCCUUGGAGAAGAUCAGGACGCACAGGAGCCUGACCCACACUUCAGAAGAAAAGAAUUUGCAGCAGAGCAUCCCACCAGCAGAGCUGCGCUGCUGGAGCCCAAACUGGAGCUCAGCUGUGUUAUUUACUCUACGAGGUCCCAGCUGUCAACCUGGCCUGGCAUCACGACAGCCUACGGCACAAAUGGCCUCAGCCAGCUGCUUGGCUCAGUGCACAAUUCUCUCUUUUUAAAUGAGAUUAGCGUUGGUGAAAUGUGCUAGCUCAACGGGCAUGCUGAUCUAAGUCCUCUGUUUAUUCGGGCUACAGCAGAUACAACGAUCACUUAAAAAAAAAAGAUGCAAUUUUAAAAGAUGCCAUGAAUUCGCCUGAGCUCCUGCAGUUGCUCCCUCAUCACAGGAUAAAGAGAGGUUUCUUACAGAUCCAUGGAGAACUGAGGACUGGAAAUGAUGAAUCUUGAAACUGUGUUAUGAAUAACAACACCAGAUAACUCUUGUGUGUCCCUGAAAUACUUGGACAUUUCCUUAAGCCUCCUGGAAAACCAAUGACCGUGGAGAAUAAAAUACUUCAUCAUCAACUUCUUCAGGUUUUCUGGGCAAACAAUGUAAAAAAGUCCAGUUGGAAGCAGCAGAUUUUGCAGUCUGUAGAUUAAAAAGCAUAUAAAAUAGAGACAUAUGUGAGGACAUUAGUAAACUUCUUAAAGUAAAAGGUUAACAAAUUUUAUAUUAACUCCCACUCUUGUUAUUUGGAUGACGAGCUCAGAAUUCCACUUUAAAAGAAUUUAAAGGACUUUAAAAGAAUUCCUCAUCUGUUAAUAAGAUGGGAAUAUCUCCAUGCAAGUCUGUAAGAGUUCAAUGUUGAUUUCACAAAAGUCAGAAAAUCACUCCAAUUUCUCUGACUUUAGAAGGGAAGUGAAGAUCUCUCUGCUGAACAUGCUCUGAGCUGGAUCUCAUUGGGAAGCUCUGAAAGAGGCCGAGUCAUGUGGAACGUAUGACAUAACUCAAACUUUGUUAUCUCUGUAAGUGUUUUAAGCUGGAGGGAGGUUUGCACGCGGCUUUUCCAUGACCUCACUCAAAAAACCCACAAAAUCAUGCUGUGUUGAUGUUGAUUCUUAUAAAUACAAACUGUAAAAAUGCAAA